UACAAAGAAAUUUAUAGCUGGGGCUAGGGA
RNAcentral lists this non-coding RNA (30 nucleotides) under Mus musculus (house mouse). Lineage: Eukaryota; Metazoa; Chordata; Mammalia; Rodentia; Muridae. The record is from RNAcentral.